Callithrix jacchus (white-tufted-ear marmoset) is the source of this 5942-nucleotide long non-coding RNA. RefSeq lists it as uncharacterized. NCBI's taxonomy places the organism in Eukaryota, Metazoa, Chordata, Mammalia, Primates, Cebidae. The record is from RefSeq and is a predicted model, not a curated record.
UCAAGUUCCUGUCUCUCAGGGAAGACAGGGAUUCACUUUUCAAGAACAUGGACCGAGUAGCCACCCAGUGGAAAGCACUGUUCUCAGUACCAGGGACACAGCACUGAACAAAACAAACUGUUUGUGCUCAUGGAGAUCCCAUGCUAGUGAGGGAGUCAGACAGUAAGCAAAUGGAUAUUUGAUUGAGAGCCAAGUUUCUGGUACAGUCAAAUUUUCUUAAGGGUUGCAAAGUGGUCAUAAUUAUUUCCACCUAGGGAAUAUUUACCCCAUGGGGAAGCUCUGUCCAUUUCUGCCCAUCUGAGCAAGUAAAACACAGGACUAUCACAGUUAUUCCAGAGCUCCAUGAAGCAAGCAAAAGUCAUCACAUUGGUUUAUUCUCUUCCUUCCAGGGAAAUAUUUGCAGUGCCUGCAGCAUUCCAGAGUUCAGUUGGGGCCAAUGUAAAGCCAGUCCCUUACUUAUAGGAUACGUCACAGACUGAGGGCCCAAUGUCAUGGGAAACCACUGGGCCACAGGAAAGGCAGAACACUGUAAGAAGGUGGCUGUCUGCAAGCCCGGAAGGGUCUCUCACCUGGAACUGAAUCAACUGGCAUCUUGAUCUUGGACUUCGCAACCUCCAGAACUGCAAGGAAUCAAUGUUGUUAAGCAACCCAAUCUGCGGCAUUUUGUUACAGCAGCUUGAACUAAGACAGCAGGUUUACUACAGAUUUUAGGAAUCACUUUUGUUGGAGGAGUCUUUUCUUCAUAGCUAUUAAACUUUCUUUUUGUCAGAUUUGUUUCUUUUACCUGUGGAUUGUAGGUACCCACACUUUUUAAUUGUGUAAUUGUAGCCAGAUCGUCUAAGGCAAAGAUUUCCAAAUUGCUAGUCAGGUCAUUGCUAUCAUUCACAGCUUACCAGCAAUUGGUAGCAGCAAAACUAGUGUGCCAAGGUGAUGAUGAGGCAUCAAAAGCAUUCCUAUAAAAUCAACAUAUGUUGGGACUUGUGGAUCUUUUAUAUGUUUUUCCAUGAACAAAUCUAGCAUUUUCCUUGGUGUAUUAAAGGUGAGGGCAUUAGAAAUAUCUCCUUUUUUGUGAGAAUGUGUGAUAUUGAUUUGAUAAUGAUUGAAGCCCUAUUUUUGCUCCUUGUUAUCAAAUAAAAAAACCACACUGGGCAUGAUACCCCAAACAGUGCAUAAAUUCAUUUGGAGAAUAUUUAUUAUUUUAUUUAUUUCAAGUAUAGAAAGUCAUUGUAUGUCUGAUGUCAGAUACUUUUCUUGUAAACAAUAGUCUAAAGCUCUUUGGAGACUGAUAAUAUUUUCUAAUGGCUGCCCAUUCCCUCUGAGAUUAAAUUGCAUUUUUUUGACUGACAUCCCUCUGAUUCAUUCUUGGAAAGAUAGCAGGCUACUUAAGAUAGCCCCAUUAUAUUUUUGGAAGAAAUUUUCAGUACCAAUUUUAUUUAUCCUCAGGAGAACCUGAAAAUAAUUGCUCAGCCAUUGACCAUGGACUCUGUUGAUCUGCUGUCUGGAUUUGUGGUCCUGUGAUGACCUAGAUGGUGGGACCACUAUCCAGCUACCAAGACCAAGUGGCCUUCAGCCUUCCCUCUCCUGCACAGGCCUCCCCAUUCCCUUAGUUAUCCAGUGUUUUCAUGUGGGCCCCUCGUGGCUCCCCUUUGCUGUGUCUGAGGCCCUGAGGAGUGGUGUUAAUAGUGGUUAAAAGCAUUGACUUAGGUUUCAGACAGAUUUUGGUUCUACUUCUGAAAUAUUGUAUGACAUUGGGAACAACUGUUUCUUUAUCUAUCAAAUGGGCAUAUGACCUCAUGAGAUAGUUGUGUGGGGUACAGUGAUGCCAUGUACGUGAAGUACUUGAGAGCACCUACACAUAGCAGAGGCUCAGGAAAUAUCAUUUCUCUUCUGAUCUCCACACCUGGAUCCAUUUAUUUUGUUUCUUUCUCAGUUUCAACCCAAAGCAGACCUCCUGUGGCUAUCCCAUUGUACCAAAUACAACAAGGUUUCACACAUAAAUAGCAGUAGCUGAUUAAUGAGAGUUUCAGGGAAGCUACGUAACUUUCCUAAGACGAUAGAGGAAAUGGCAAAGUCAAACUCACUGUGGUCUGACAGCCAAGUCCAUAUCCUUAACCACUAUACUUUAAAGCCUCCUGGGGGCUGCCACUCUAUCCACAGAUCAUGGGGAACAUUCCCCACAGGCAUCUGGGCACAUAGAUGGUAAAAAGAGCAGGGUGGACACUGCACAGCCAAAAAUAAGCACAGGAUCUUUAUCAAAGGUUUUACAGUACCUCCUCUCACCAACAAUGGGGAAGCACAUCCACUUAUCCACCCACUGGCCAACAUUGGAUAUCACUGACCUUUUUUAGUUUUGACUUUCUGAUGGAUGAAAAAUAUCACUUUAUUGGCCAUUUGUACUCAUUUUUCAGUAAUAGGUUAGAUUUGAAUUUGACUGAUUUCUAAUAUCCAUCCAUUCAAAGAUAUUUUCCAAAGCAAAGCCCUAUUUUCUAAAGGAAAUAGGAAAACAGCUUUCUGAGAAAAUGCUAUUUAGAUGGUUAAAAGAUGGAAUUUAAUAUGCCAUUAUUAUUCAGAAGAUAGCAGCUGUUUUUUACACCGAUGAAGUUAAAAUGGCAGAAAGUAUAUUUCAUAUGCUUAUGGUAUGGGUUUUAGAACAAGAAAAAAUAGAGAUACUAAAAACCGCUAGAGUUGACAGUGAAUUCCAGCAGACUCACACCAAAUCUUACAGUUCUGGUGAGUGCUUGUCACAGUACUUAUGACAGCCAUUUAUCUCUCUUAGGAAAUUGUGUUUUCUUCAAGCUGUACCAUUUUCUUAAUACAUUACACUCUUGGCAUCAGGAAUGGAGCAUCUAGAUAAAAAAAGUAUGUUUGGAAUUUGUUUUUCAACAAUUUGUAUUUACAGAGCUUAGGGAUAACAAGAAAGGCACACUGGUUUGCCAUCUCAUGAAAACACAUGUCUACAUUUUUAUACCCUGUGUAAAUAUGCAUAUAUCCACCCUGAUUUCUAUUGGUAAAAUGUAAUGUUUGGACCAAUGUGACAUUUAUCAAAACACUUCACAUGCUACAGCGCAAAGUAAAGAACAAAUAUCAAAUAAUUUUUGUACAUGGAGACAUACUUUAUUCUCUCAGUAGAGUGCAAUUACAUUAGUGAUAAUUAACCGAAAAUAACCUCAAAUGCUUUUAGACCAUUAAAAUUCAUUCAUACAUAAUUCAUCAGUGAAAAAAGUCAUAAUGAAAAUCUUACUUUUGACUAUAGAAGAAAUUUCAAAUAAAAUGUUUGCAUGUUGAAUAAACCAGUGUACUAGAAAAAUGUAUCAGGACCAAUUGUUUAUCAUAGGAUUGCAAGGAUGAGUUAACACUAACAAUUUGUGUUAAAAAUUAAAUUAAUACACUAACAAUGUGUUGGAAUAUUGCAUUAUAAGUUCAGAAGAGAGGUGGUGAACAGUUAAGUUAAAAUUUGGGGGAAAAUUGGCUAUAACCUGGGAAAAAUAAAAUUAGGUUACAAAUUCACACCGUACACAAAAACAAACUCCAAAUAGCUUAAAGGACUUAACUGGAAAAAUAAAGUUUAGAACUUUUAAAAAUACAUGUAAUUAAAUCUAUUUACAAUGUCAAGAUAAUGAAUGAUUUCUUGAACACAGCAUAAAAUGAACAAAACAUAAAAAAAGAUUAAUAAAAUUUACAAUGUCAUAAUUUUUUAAAACUUUGAUGAAAAAAUAACCCACCAUAAACAAGCAUAAGUCACAGACUGAAAGAGCUUAUAGAAUAUAACAGGAAAAAGUUAAUUCAUAUAAGAAAUAUAUUUUAAAAGUCCUACAACUCAAUCAGAAAAAAGAAAGGAUGUGAAUUCAAUGACCAAUAAACCUAUUAAAAUAUGUUCCCUUUUACUAGUAACAAGGAACAGUAAAUUACCAUAACAAUGUGAUACAAUUUCACAAUCACAAGUUUAGCAGAUGUUCUGAUAACACUAGAUGUUGAUGAGGGGUUGGGAAAUGGAAACUCAUAUACUGCUAGUGAAAAUAUAAAUUGCUACAGGUACUUCAGGGAGUAAUUUAGGAAUAUCCACUGAAAUUGAAAAAUUCAAUUUUUCAAUUGAAUUGAAAUGGGAGGCUAGACACUGCUAUUAUUUUUGUAACAAAUCUUUUAGGACUAUUUGAUUCUCAAAACAUAUACGCAACUUAAAGAAAAUGAAAAAAAUUUAAAUGAGAUAUACAACUUAAGUAAACAUUUAAAUAUUAAUUACAAAUGAACAGAAUAACAAGGAACUGUGCCUGAAAGUGUAGGCUAAAGCCAAACCUUCAAAGCCUCUGAAUAUCAAAUGAAACUAGUUGUAAUUGAUGCACAUGGUAAUGAUUAGCUACUGAAUGGUAUGUGCAAUGAAGUACAAAGCAAAGCUAUUUCUUGGAAGUGUUUUGGCAAAAUGUGGAGGCAGCAAUGACCAGCCACAAAACACUGUCUUAGUCAGGGAACAGACUAUAAGAAGCUGAACUGGGGCAUAGUGCUAGGAAUUGAAAAGAGAAGACAGAUUGGAGAAACAGCCCAUCUGCUGAGUCAUCCUCUCUGCCUGUUGCCAUGUGCUACCAUUUAUCUCUUACCAUUCCAAGCCUCUGCCCUAUGAAGGACAGCCUGGCUCUCACUUGUGCCUACUGGCCCCUCAGCCCCCAGAGCCUCCAGGCCAUUUUGGACAAGGUAAUCCUUAAUACCAUUGACCUAUUCACAACCUCAUUCUCCUGGACUUUCCAAGGUCUGCCUCUAUGCCCAAUGAGUAUCUUCUCACUCUUUUGGAAGAUAACUUUGCUGAACUCCCUCCCAUGUACACUACUGAGGCAAAGAAGUUGACCCUCUAUUUUCUUUUUAUCUUUGGUAGUACAAGCAUUCUGUGUGGUCUACAUUCAGGAUUCCAGUGCUUCUGUAUCUUAAAGCACAUUCUCAAUGACUAAAGCCAUAACUUUUGCUAGAAAGAGUUAAUAUCUUGUGAACUAACAAAGAUUUGUAGAUAUAUAGACACUCCUUGAUUUAUAGUGGGGUUAUGUCCUGAUAAACUUAUGAUAACUUAAAAACAUCAUAAACUGAAAAUACACUUAAUAUACCUAAUCUACAGAACACCAUAGCUUAGCCUAGCCUACCAUAAAUGUGCUUAGAACACUUACAUUCACUUACAGUUGGGCAAACUCAUGGGGCAACACAGUGCACCGCAGAGUAUCAGUAUUGACCUUCAUGAUCGCGGGGCUGACUGGGAGCUGCAGCCGUGGCUGUGCAGCAUUAAGAGGGAGUAUCAUAUCACAUUUGCUAGCUCAGAAAAAUAUCAAAAUUCAAAAUUUGAAGUAUGGUCUCUACUGAUGGUGCUGAUUUAUGUAAAUAUUUUUGUUUCAUUAUUUUCACAACUAGAAUUUUUUUUUCUAAAUUGUAUAUGGCUCUUAUAUAGGAUUGGUUUGUAGCACAGCUUGCAUAAAUAAAUAAAUUAGUUGCUUGACGUAACUUUUGGUUCAUUUAUGGUUCCAUGUAGUCCUGUUACUUUUCUUUCCACUUUUAAAUGAGUUGCUUACAAUGGAAAUGUUGUUAAGAUUUAACAAGAAGAGAAAAGCCAAAUGAAAAUCAGUUCAUAUGAAAUUGGCCUCUUGCCUGGUAUCUUUUGUGACCAUGAGGCUGAUGAUGCUGACCACAUAGGCUGUGGAAAGGGCUUUAUUUUCACAGGUACCCGGAUGCAUGCAUAAGAAUGAGUGUAACUUGACCUCAAUGAAAUUUCACAUUGAAAGAAGUAAUGUAUUGCAUAUUUGAUCCAUUAGAGCUGAUAAAGAAAAAUUAUUCCAGAAAAAAAUGUAGUACCUCUUAUAAUGAACCUUUUAGAUGGAUAUUCUGUGCUAUUUAUAUUUUGAACAGAUUCUUGUUUUCCUCAGGUCCCUGUCAGAUAAAAUAAAAAGUUCCCUAACAAACUAAACAUGAAA